Molecule: ribosomal RNA, 719 nt
Filed under: Smiliorachis sp. MEM148 Evangelista
Lineage: Eukaryota; Metazoa; Arthropoda; Insecta; Hemiptera; Membracidae
Description: bacterial SSU rRNA
Rfam family: Eukaryotic small subunit ribosomal RNA
Source: RNAcentral
AGCUUGUGUCCAGCGGCGCCGGUUCACCGCUAGCCGGUGUCACAACUGGCGCGUCGGCUGGACGUCCGGCCGGUGGCGGCCCGCGCCCUCGACCCGUGUAGGUUCCACUCCCGAAGCGGGCCGAGUCAGCCGGGCGGCCGACUCAAUCCCGCCGCGGUGCUCUUGACUGAGUGUCGAGGUGGGCCGGCAAGAUUACUUUGAACAAAUUAGAGUGCUAAAAGCGGGCUCACUCACGCCUGGAUACUGUCGCAUGGAAUAAUGGAAUAGGACUUCGGUUCUAAUUUUAUUGGUUUUAAGAGCCUGAAGUAAUGAUUGAUGGGGGCAGACGGGGGCACCCGUACUGUGACGUUAGAGGUGAAAUUCUUGGAUCGUCGCAAGACGAACAACAGCGAAAGCAUUUGCCAAGUAUGCCCUUGUUAAUUAAGAACGAAAGUUAGAGGCUCGAAGGCGAUCAGAUACCGCCCUAGUUCUGACCGUAAACUAUGCCAGCCAGCGAUCCGCCACUGUUACUUUGAUGACUUGGCGGGCAGCUCCCGGGAAACCAAAGCUUAUGGGUUCCGGGGGAAGUAUGGUUGCAAAGCUGAAACUUAAAGGAAUUGACGGAAGGGCACCACCAGGAGUGGAGCCUGCGGCUUAAUUUGACUCAACACGGGAAACCUCACCAGGCCAGGACACUGGAAGGAUUGACAGACUGAUGGCUCUUUCUUGAUUCAGUGGGU